RNAcentral lists this ribosomal RNA (497 nucleotides) under uncultured bacterium. RNAcentral's name for it is "partial 16S ribosomal RNA". It matches the Rfam family "Bacterial small subunit ribosomal RNA", at positions 28 to 507 of the family's 1533-position model. The record is from RNAcentral.
GAUGAACGCUGGCGGCGUGCCUAAUACAUGCAAGUCGAGCGAACGGACGAGAAGCUUGCUUCUCUGAUGUUGGCGGCGGACGGGUGAGUAACACGUGGAUAACCUACCUAUAAGACUGGGAUAACUUCGGGAAACCGGAGCUAAUACCGGAUAAUAUUUUGAACCGCAUGGUUCAAAAGUGAAAGACGGUCUUGCUGUCACUUAUAGAUGGAUCCGCGCUGCAUUAGUUAGUUGGUAAGGUAACGGCUUACCAAGGCAACGAUGCAUAGCCGACCUGAGAGGGUGAUCGGCCACACUGGAACUGAGACACGGUCCAGACUCCUACGGGAGGCAGCAGUAGGGAAUCUUCCGCAAUGGGCGAAAGCCUGACGGAGCAACGCCGCGUGAGUGAUGAAGGUCUUCGGAUCGUAAAACUCUGUUAUUAGGGAAGAACAUAUGUGUAAGUAACUGUGCACAUCUUGACGGUACCUAAUCAGAAAGCCACGGCUAACUACGUG